Molecule: long non-coding RNA, 1974 nt
Organism: Megalobrama amblycephala (Wuchang bream)
Lineage: Eukaryota; Metazoa; Chordata; Actinopteri; Cypriniformes; Xenocyprididae
Exons: 2
Source: RefSeq, a predicted model, not a curated record
AACAACUUGAAGGUGAGUAACAAAAUUUUCAUUUUUGGGUGAACUAUCCCUUUAAGUAGGGGAGGGGGAGGAGCUAUAAAAAAGGGGCUUAUAAAAUCCAUACACUACAAAGUAGAGUACAUAGUGCAUAGUAUAAGUGCAUAAUGUAGCCUAUGUCAUUUGGGACACAACAGUUAUUCUCUCCACAUGCAACUGACUGUGGUCAACAUAUGUGUAUAACUGGUGUGAUAUUGCCCCCUGUCUGAUUUAGGACAGACACACUUGUUACACUAGACGUGAGCGUCUCCUCUCUGCAAAUGAAUGGAGGAGAAACAUAAACGCCCUAUUUUAAAACGCCUCUAGUAUAGCGUCGCACUGAAAAAUAUACAUAAGCUGCCCCCUGUCUGAUUUAGGACAGACACACUUUGUUUACUGUGAUGUUGGUGCAAACAUUCCUCAGAUGCCACAGCACUGCUUACUUUAAAGUUUUCAAAAUUAUGUCACACACGUCUACCACAUUGAUAUCCAGCUAGAGCAGUGAGAAAGGGCCAGAACCCAUAGGGCCUCAUCAAAUUUAUAAAUGGGGCCACACAUAUGAAACAAAUUGGGGAAAAAAAGCUUUAUGUAUAAUAUGUAAACGGACAUAUUUAAUAUUUCAGUGUCUUAUUUAAUUAAUUUUAAACUAUUUUUAUUCAAAACAUAAAGUUCUAACUUAAUCGUAUAAAAAAUAAUCAUAGUUAAUUAUUUUUAUCUAGUUUCUGUCAAUAAAAAAAGUUUAAAAACAAGCAGCUUUGUCAUCGUUACAUCAUAAGAGCCACAGGUACAUGGCGUCAAAAAGAUCGAAAACCACUGAAAUAGAGUCCGCCAUAUAAGCUAAUCAACAUGUCAAACAUUUAUUUCCGAGGUGCCUUACGGUGGCGUCAGAACAUAAGAGAUAUAAAACGCAGUUCACUUCGGCUAUGCACUGUCAAAAUCAGUCGACUUUUCAAACCUUCUAUAGGACAACAGUCAUUCUGCACUAAAGAAAGUGCUGAACUUUGAGCGUCAGGACCCGGAAGCGUGUUAUUUUAUUGUCACAUGGCUUGAAGAUUUCAAUAACAACAAAAAAUGGCGACAAUCACGUUGUUCGCUGUAAGGCGCUUGCUGCGUCAUUAAAAAUAUUCACGUAAACACGGGAGUUAAGCGUUGAAAAUGCAACCGCUAUAGGAAUGUUAGGCAGAUGUUUUGUCAUUAUUUGGCAGGCGUUUCCACUGUCCUGAGAUGGCAAACACGACGCGCUGAUGGAGUUGUUUACAAGAAGAGAUUCGCACGGAGGGCGGGGAAGCUGUGGGCGGAGUCUGUGGGAGGAACCACUUGCUUGCCAAAUACGAGAGCAAAGCAUAGAAGGUGGAGUCAGAGUUACCAUAACAAGUCUGGCGUCACAGGGGCGGUGUUUAUGAAUAAUUAAAGCUCCAAAUUAAGGUAUUGAAUCUCUUGGGAGCUGUCAUUUAAUGCAGGGUAUCCAAUGAAAAUGUGGCAUGAUAUUACAUUUUUGCUAGCUACACAGUAUAAGUUAUGUUAAAAAAUAAAAUGCUUCAUCUACUCAUUUCUAUAAUAUAUACAUUUUUAGGUUUAAUUAGCCUAUAUUAUAUUUUAUUUGUUAUAUUUUGAAUAGAGUAAACCUGUGGAAUUCACACUUUAUCUGUGAUAUUUAAAGUCAAAGUUGUUACCCCUGAAUGAACGUGGAAGAGAAGAUGCGUGAAGCGCUACCGCCCUGGAUCUGCUUGAUGUGACAGGCUGCCCUGGUUCAGUUAUCACAGUGCUGAUGCUGUCCAUCUUAAAGGUACAGUACUGUGAUAACUGAAGGAUGGCUGCCAUCUUGACAUCUAGCCUCAUAAAAAGUUUUUUUUUCCAAACAGGUGAGCAAGAUGUAAAAGACAAGAAAAUGAACAAAACAAUACAAUUUAAUAAAGAGAUAAGCUAUUCUGUUUUAAUAAAACUGUAAAACUGUAAAAA